CCCUAGCCCCGAUUGAAGCGAUUGUUUGAGCUCUUUUUUGUUUUUUUUAAACAAAAAAAGCGAGUGCGGAAAGCGGGAAAUAGC
Tenacibaculum dicentrarchi is the source of this 84-nucleotide non-coding RNA. NCBI's taxonomy places the organism in Bacteria, Pseudomonadati, Bacteroidota, Flavobacteriia, Flavobacteriales, Flavobacteriaceae. The record is from Rfam.